AACGAACGCUGGCGGCAUGCCUAACACAUGCAAGUCGAACGGAACCGCCGGGCCUAUUUGCGCUCGGGGGCGUACCGACUGGGAAGCUGCACUUAGGUUCCGUGUCCCUCCCCGUGGGGGGUCCUAAUACCAGUGAAGGUAUUACCGCCAAAGAUCUAUCGCUGUUGGAUGGGCCCUGGUUGGAUUAGCCAGUUGGUAGGGUAAAAGCCUACCAAGGCCACGAUCCAUAGCUGGUCUGAGAGGAUGAUUAGCCACACUGGGACUGAGACACGGGCCAGACUCCUACGGGAGGCAGCGGUGGGUAAUAUUGGACAAUGGGCGAAAGCCUGAUCCAGCAAUGCCGGGGGAGUGAUGAAGGCCUUAGGGUUGUAAAGCUCUUUUACCCGGGAUGAUAAUGACAGUACCGGGAGAAUAAGCUCCGGCUAACUCCGUG
RNAcentral lists this ribosomal RNA (433 nucleotides) under uncultured bacterium. RNAcentral's name for it is "partial 16S ribosomal RNA". It matches the Rfam family "Bacterial small subunit ribosomal RNA", at positions 29 to 507 of the family's 1533-position model. The record is from RNAcentral.